UCGGGAAUUUUGGGCAAUGGGGGAAACCCUGACCCAGCAACGCCGCGUGAAGGAUGAAGUAUUUCGGUAUGUAAACUUCGAAAGAAUAGGAAGAAUAAAUGACGGUACUAUUUAUAAGGUCCGGCUAACUACGUGCCAGCAGCCGCGGUAAUACGUGGGGACCAAGCGUUGUUCGGAUUUACUGGGCGUAAAGGGCGCGUAGGCGGCAUGACAAGUCACUUGUGAAAUCUCUGGGCUUAACCCAGAACGGCCAAGUGAUACUGUCGCGCUAGAGUGCAGAAGGGGCAAUCGGAAUUCUUGGUGUAGCGGUGAAAUGCGUAGAUAUCAAGAGGAACACCUGAGGUGAAGACGGGUUGCUGGGCUGACACUGACGCUGAGGCGCGAAAGCCAGGGGAGCAAACGGGAUUAGAUACCCCGGUAGUCCCUGAGCGGGCUGGCAAGGCGCAU
This 447-nucleotide ribosomal RNA is filed under the name uncultured bacterium. RNAcentral's name for it is "bacterial SSU rRNA". It matches the Rfam family "Bacterial small subunit ribosomal RNA", at positions 355 to 825 of the family's 1533-position model. The record is from RNAcentral.